Molecule: non-coding RNA, 500 nt
Organism: Macaca mulatta (Rhesus monkey)
Lineage: Eukaryota; Metazoa; Chordata; Mammalia; Primates; Cercopithecidae
Source: RefSeq, a predicted model, not a curated record
CACGGUGGGCCCGUCCACUAUGUCGCGCCAGGCGCGGCACACUGGACGGCAUCGCGUGACCAAGGCGCGUGGAGGCACGUGGCUCAGAACCUGCACCAGCAGCUCCGGGGGCAGCGCGUCCAGGGCCAGGGACGGGUCCGCCGGCAGCCGUCGCCGCGAGAGCCGGGCGCCCAUCUCUAGCAGCCGGAGUCCUGCAGGUGUGAGCCACCAUGCCCAGCCCCGACAUCAUCUUUAUUCCUACUGCAGAAAGAAUGAAGUUGUGGAGACAGACUUGACAAAGACCAAGCUGUGCUUUUCUCCAGGUGGUUCUGAGUUGCAUUAAUAGUUCACUGAGGCCCGGUGCUUGAACCCAGGAGGCAGAGGUUGCAGCGAGCUGAGAUCACACCACUCACUGCACUUCAGCCUGGGUGACAGAGCGACUCUGUCUCAAAAAUAAAUAAAUAAUUCCCUGAGGUUUAUAAACAAGUCUACCAGCCUGCCUGGCAUGGAUGUGAUGCUCA